UGUGUCAAAAAAUAAUAAGUUGACAAUAACCCUGCCAGAAUAUGCAGCAAGGAUGACUGCAUAUUUCUUCUUGCCAGCAUGACAGUAUUAGGGAGCUGGUACAAGCACAGAGGAGAGAGGGCUCUGGACUCAGAAGCAUGCUGCCUUAUCUCGGGCUUUAAAGACUUCUCUGGAGAGCUGCUUGAGAUUCAGAUGCAAGAAAGGCUAAACAGACCGCUGGAGAUUAAAACUGAAAGUUUUCAUUUUUCUUCAUCUUUUCAGAAGAAAUUUUCGUCCUUUGUUCCCUUCCUGGAGAGCUUUUCCACCGCAGAUGACCGACUCUUCUUUUCAAGAGAGCAUCUUUCUUCCUUUCCCUUUUCCCUGUCUUCCUGCUUGUAGGUUUUGCGUUCUCUAGCUGCUCUUUUUUUCCACCCCCUGAUUCUCAAGUGCCUUUUAAAGUCUGAUAGCUCAAAUUAGCCUGGUUAGGUUCAAUAGGCUGAGACAGUUCAAGUGUUCAGUGUUUCAUUGUUAUGCAACCCAUAUUCCAUCACCCACUGCAGCCCCCUCUGCAUCAAGUUACAUUGCAGCACCUGGCCAAUGCAGUGAAGCUGGAUGGAAACCAUUUUGAAAGGCUGUUGAGAAAGGAGUUCCUUUAUCAAUCAGAUUAGAUUCUGCUUCACGCACCCUUUCCCAGCCUUAGCAUUACUCUCAGCGUGAGACGCCACAUCAGGAAACUACCAUGGUGGAAGGCUAAAUGCAUUUUCCAAAAGAUGGCUACUUGGCCCACUUCAUGUGGGAAAUUGCACAUGCACCGAUGUUCCUCUGCAGUUUUCAGGCACAAAUACCUGCACUUCCACUUUAGUGGCACUUGUGAAUGCAGAUAUUGGACUAUAGACCUGUGUAGGUGUUUGCAUUUGUGAAUUGUGUGUAAAACGCCCAUGCAAUUUUGGGUGAGCACACAACAGGCAUUUAAAAAAAAAAAUCACAUUUUAACAUGUGUUAAUUGUAACAUGAUUAUAGACAGGCCACAAAUACUGAACCUUAGGGUCUACUGCACCCCCCCCCCUUGCUGUUGCAGGCCCUCAGGCACACUGAUCUGAAAAUUCACCCCCCCCAGGAAGAGAAUAUAUUUAGUAGUUCAAGCUAGUUAUCCCGUGCGCUGUGUGUGUAAAAAAAGUUUCU
This 1161-nucleotide long non-coding RNA is filed under the name Chrysemys picta bellii (western painted turtle). Its description in RNAcentral is "lncRNA (ENSCPBG00000027145.1)". Lineage: Eukaryota; Metazoa; Chordata; Testudines; Emydidae. The record is from RNAcentral.